Non-coding RNA from Macaca mulatta (Rhesus monkey), 575 nucleotides. The record is from RefSeq and is a predicted model, not a curated record. NCBI's taxonomy places the organism in Eukaryota, Metazoa, Chordata, Mammalia, Primates, Cercopithecidae.
GAGAAAGAAGGGCGAAGGAAGGAGAGGAGAAGGAAGAUGAAGAGAGGAAAGAAGGCGGAUGGAAACCUGGCACCUCCUGCCCCACAGUAGGUCUUGGUCCUGGAUCUCCACUGUCACCCCGAGGCUGACGCUAGUGUGUAAAAAUAGGCAGGAGAUGGAAAUACUGGAUAGAAGAAGACAACACCCUGGCAAGGGCCCCACCCUCAAGCCUGGAAACCCAAGGCCCUAAAUGGGAACAGGCAGUCCUGUUUUUGGCCCAAAGGUUGCCUUUUGGCCUGCCAUGCCCAUCUAUCUUGUACCCACAUAAACCCCAAAUCCUGGGCUCCAAGAGCAGAUGAACGAACAGAAGAGCAGAAGAGUGGCAGAACUGAGCGGCAGAGAAGGAGAGAAGAGAAGGAGCAUCUGAGUGUCAAGAGGAGUUCAGGUGGGGACAGUUGGAGAGGAGAUUGGCUGCUGGAUGGCCAAACUCCAGGGGAAGAUCAUCUUUUCACUCUAUCUCCUCUCCAGCUCCCCAUCCAUCCCACUGAGAGCCACCUCCAUCAUUCAAUAAAAUCCCUGCAUUCACUAUCCUUCAA